This 435-nucleotide ribosomal RNA is filed under the name uncultured bacterium. RNAcentral's name for it is "partial 16S ribosomal RNA". It matches the Rfam family "Bacterial small subunit ribosomal RNA", at positions 29 to 507 of the family's 1533-position model. The record is from RNAcentral.
AACGAACGCUGGCGGCAUGCCUAGCACAUGCAAGUCGAACGAUUGCCUUCGGGUGAUAGUGGCGCACGGGUGCGUAACGCGUGGGAAUCUGCCCUUAGGUUCGGAAUAACAGCUGGAAACGGCUGCUAAUACCGGAUGAUAUCGCGAGAUCAAAGAUUUAUCGCCUGAGGAUGAGCCCGCGUUGGAUUAGGUAGUUGGUGGGGUAAAGGCCUACCAAGCCGACGAUCCAUAGCUGGUCUGAGAGGAUGAUCAGCCACACUGGGACUGAGACACGGUCCAGACUCCUACGGGAGGCAGCAGUGGGGAAUAUUGGACAAUGGGCGCAAGCCUGAUCCAGCAAUGCCGCGUGAGUGAUGAAGGCCCUAGGGUUGUAAAGCUCUUUUACCCGGGAAGAUAAUGACUGUACCGGGAGAAUAAGCCCCGGCUAACUCCGUG